GAUGAACGCUGGCGGCGUGCCUAAUACAUGCAAGUCGAGCGAACGGACGAGAAGCUUGCUUCUCUGAUGUUAGCGGCGGACGGGUGAGUAACACGUGGAUAACCUACCUAUAAGACUGGGAUAACUUCGGGAAACCGGAGCUAAUACCGGAUGAUAUUUUGAACCGCAUGGUUCAAAAGUGAAAGAAGGUCUUGCUUUCACUUAUAGAUGGAUCCGCGCUGCAUUAGCUAGUUGGUAAGGUAACGGCUUACCAAGGCAACGAUGCAUAGCCGACCUGAGAGGGUGAUUCGACACACUGGAACUGAGACACGGUCCAGACUCCGACGGGAGGAAGCAGUAGGGAAUCUUCCGCAAUGGGCGAAAGCCUGACGGAGCAACGCCGCGUGAGUGAUGAAGGUCUUCGGAUCGUAAAACUCUGUUAUUAGGGAAGAACAUAUGUGUAAGUAACUGUGCACAUCUUGACGGUACCUAAUCAGAAAGCCACGGCUAACUACGUG
This 497-nucleotide ribosomal RNA is filed under the name uncultured bacterium. RNAcentral's name for it is "partial 16S ribosomal RNA". It matches the Rfam family "Bacterial small subunit ribosomal RNA", at positions 28 to 507 of the family's 1533-position model. The record is from RNAcentral.